Molecule: transfer RNA, 75 nt
Filed under: Alphaproteobacteria bacterium
Lineage: Bacteria; Pseudomonadati; Pseudomonadota; Alphaproteobacteria
Description: tRNA-Met
Rfam family: tRNA
About the family: Transfer RNA (tRNA) molecules are approximately 80 nucleotides in length. Their secondary structure includes four short double-helical elements and three loops (D, anti-codon, and T loops).
Source: RNAcentral
GCAGGGGUGGGCAGCCCGGUAGCUCGUCGAGGCUCAUAACCUGAGAAGGUCGUAGGUUCAAAUCCUACCCCCGCA